GGGACGGCGGCCUACCUAAUACAUGCAAGUCGAGCGAAUGGAUUAAGAGCUUGCUCUUAUGAAGUUAGCGGCGGACGGGUGAGUAACACGUGGGUAACCUGCCCAUAAGACUGGGAUAACUCCGGGAAACCGGGGCUAAUACCGGAUAACAUUUUGAACUGCAUGGUUCGAAAUUGAAAGGCGGCUUCGGCUGUCACUUAUGGAUGGACCCGCGUCGCAUUAGCUAGUUGGUGAGGUAACGGCUCACCAAGGCAACGAUGCGUAGCCGACCUGAGAGGGUGAUCGGCCACACUGGGACUGAGACACGGCCCAGACUCCUACGGGAGGCAGCAGUAGGGAAUCUUCCGCAAUGGACGAAAGUCUGACGGAGCAACGCCGCGUGAGUGAUGAAGGCUUUCGGGUCGUAAAACUCUGUUGUUAGGGAAGAACAAGUGCUAGUUGAAUAAGCUGGCACCUUGACGGUACCUAACCAGAAAGCCACGGCUAACUACGUGCCAGCAGCCGCGGUAAUACGUAGGUGGCAAGCGUUAUCCGGAAUUAUUGGGCGUAAAGCGCGCGCAGGUGGUUUCUUAAGUCUGAUGUGAAAGCCCACGGCUCAACCGUGGAGGGUCAUUGGAAACCGGGAGACUUGAGUGCAGAAGAGGAAAGUGGAAUUCCAUGUGUAGCGGUGAAAUGCGUAGAGAUAUGGAGGAACACCAGUGGCCAAGGCGACUUUCUGGUCUGUAACUGACACUGAGGCGCGAAAGCGUGGGGAGCAAACCGGAUUACAUACCCGGGUAGUCCA
Molecule: ribosomal RNA, 784 nt
Filed under: Bacillus cereus
Lineage: Bacteria; Bacillati; Bacillota; Bacilli; Caryophanales; Bacillaceae
Description: bacterial SSU rRNA
Rfam family: Bacterial small subunit ribosomal RNA
Source: RNAcentral